This 844-nucleotide long non-coding RNA is filed under the name Calidris pugnax (ruff). RNAcentral describes it as "lncRNA (ENSCPUG00000005076.1)". Lineage: Eukaryota; Metazoa; Chordata; Aves; Charadriiformes; Scolopacidae. The record is from RNAcentral.
AUCCCCCUGUGCAAUUUGGGGGUCAGUUUUUCUUACCCUUGUGCUUGACUCAUUCUGGCCAGUGUAUAUUUUGGUGUUGAAUUUCUUUGCUUGUUCUCACCUUUGAGGUUUUUUGGCCGGUUGGCCUUUAUCAUCCACGGGGAACUGGUCCCUCUGAAGCUGAGUCUUGCCUUGUCUUUGGGCAUCACCCGACGGCGUCGCCUGGAUGAAGCUGAGGAAGCCUGUGACUGCAGUCGGGAGGCAUCUCGAGCUAAUGAAGAUGUUUUCCCCUCUAUCUGCCGUUAUCUGGGCGCCUGGAAGAGCUGCGGAGGAGCUCUCAUCCUGCUCCAGGCAGAGCUGAUGGGAUUUGCACCGGUCCCAGUUGCCAUGGAGAAAGUGUUAGAUGGCUUUAAUACAUCUCUGCGAAUUUCUCCCCGGAGUUUUCCUGUGACAAGCUGGACUGGAGGCGAUGAAAACAUGAAUGAUUCAUAAAAACAAAGGGGAAAAAAACCAUAAUUUCCAGCUUGGGAUGCCAAGAAGCCAGUCAUCCACCCGCCUGGCGAGCACACGCUCUCGUUUGGGGUUACUUCCCCCUGGAUUCCUCACUCUGCUCUGCCUUAACAUAUAAGAUUAUUGGACACAGACCGUGAUGGAAUCAAGGAAACCUGGGCUGGAUGUUUUCAGCAGGAGAGGAGGCGGCAGGAAAAUUAGGAGGAGCUGAGAGAGCAGUGGUGGCUGCAGAACCCACAGCGGCUUCUGGAGACCGGAGCAACAAGCCCUGGGCCAGUGGGUCGGGGAGCUGGACAUCGUGUCAUCCCUGCCACCUCCUUCCUCUCCCUUUCUGCCUUCUUAUUUUAUUAUUUUU